This 279-nucleotide ribosomal RNA is filed under the name uncultured bacterium. RNAcentral describes it as "partial 16S ribosomal RNA". It matches the Rfam family "Bacterial small subunit ribosomal RNA", at positions 506 to 784 of the family's 1533-position model. The record is from RNAcentral.
UGCCAGCCGCCGCGGUAACACGCAGGGUGCAAACGUUGCUCGGAAUUACUGGGCGUAAAGCGCGUGCAGGCGGCGCUCCAAGUUUUGUGUGAAAGCCCUCGGCUUAACCGGGGAACUGCGCAAGAUACUGGAGUGCUAGAAUAUGGGAGAAGAGGGCGGAAUUCCUAGUGUAGAGGUGAAAUUCGUAGAUAUUAGGAGGAACACCAGUGGCGAAAGCGGCUCACUGGCUAGAUACUGACGCUGAGGUACGAAAGUGUGGGGAGCAAACAGGAUUAGAUA